GGAGGGAGAGGGAGAGAAAAAGAGAGACUUAUAUUAAUACAAUUAUAUAUAUAUAUAUAUAUAUAUACACACAUACCAACAAAAUCUUUCAUUAAUAUAAUAAUACAAAUUAAAAUUUUAUGCAACUAUAUAAAUUAGUAUUUACACAUAUAACAAAUUAUAAUACUCUAAUAUCCUUCCUGUGCUUUCUCUUGAAUUCCUAGACAAAGUGGUUCAUCAUAUCUUGUUGUGAAAUUACACUCCAUAUGUUGUUGUUGUUGAAGUGUGUUAGAAUAAUCCCACGAUCUCAUUUGGAGUUAAGUUCGAUUUACCAAGGCCAAAAGUGACAUCCGCUUCUACUAUAGGCAUCACGACCUGUAAGCAUAAGAAAUAUACAGUUGAAACUUUUUUUUGGCAACACUGUGAACAUUAUCAUAGACUAACAAAAGAAAUCAUAAUUACAACCUAUGAGCACAAUACAGUUAGAACUUGUAGUCAUGUAUUUAAGUGUUCAAGCAAUAGGAUCAGAUAGUAGUUUUAAUUUUAGAUAAAACGUUUUAACAAGUUUAAGAGGGGUUUUUUGUGUAAAAAACUUCAGCAGUAACAAGUAAUGUUACUUCUUCAGCUGAGACAUUGAUGUAUGUUAUCUACCACAAUAGAAAAACUCAAACAAAACAAAAUGAAAACAUCGAGUAGGAGCAAUACUAAUCAAGGCAGGAAACAGAAUGCUAAAAACAACCAUCUCAAAAUGUGGAAAGCAAUUCUAAGACCAGGGACAUUUAACUAGGUGAAUCCACAAAGUCUAAUAAUAUGACCAAUUUAGGAUAUAACUUUCCACAAAAAAUUCUAGAAAAUAGGGAACAUAUAAUAAAAAUUAUAUAACGUGAAGUGAAGAUGUUAUACUUACCCUAGCUAUGAAACUAGAAAGAAAAAGAGAUGCCUUGGUAAAAAAAAUAAAGAACAGUAGGCUUUCACAAGCUUCUAACAUCAGGUACAAUUCCAGCUCCCUUAGAUUGUCUUUCCCUGAUGAUUUAAAACUUGUGCUUAAACAUGUCAUAAUAUUCAUGUUUUAUAAAAGCUUCUCAUUAAGGAAAUAUUGAAAUGUGACAUUCUUUUUGUACGAACUAAUAAACAAAUAGUGCAAAAAAGGUGGAGGGGAAAGUAUAAUGUAUUUCUAGAUUUGCAACUUAAUUUAUGAAUAAGAGAGAACAGUGAUAGAGAACCAAAGCAUAGAUCUAAUAAGCUGAGGGAAAAUACUGGCACAUUAAUGCAAGGCAGACAUGGAAGUUGAAAGCUAAUUCUUACUGUUGUUUCCUUUUUAACAAGUUACUUGAUGCUAUUGAUAAAAAAAAGAGUUACUUAACGUUGGUGAUAUAUAUAUCGGCUACACCGUAAAGUGUAAGGCACUUUUUACGUUAUAUUUUCAAGUACGUUGCAUAUUCGGAUUGCAUAUAUGUACAGACUACAUGGACCUAUUUAACAAUAAAAAGGAGACUGUUAAAGCCAAAAAAAUAAGAAAAUUAUAUAAUUUAGUGUUGUUGUAGAUAGAAAGUGAAAUCUAUAACAUUUCAAUGUGCAAAUUAAUGUUAUGCUGAAUAACAAAAAGAAACUUUUUAGAAAUUCACUGGUCAGAGAUGUGAAGAACAUAUGAUGUUAGAAUGCAAGGCAGAUCGUGCAUAAAUGGAAGCAGAAUGUCAGACGGGAUACCUGAAGCCGAAACACAAAAGAUAGGUCAUUUUAUUUAAGGUGUUCCUCAAAAAGUAGCAACACAUUAACACAUAUAUCUAAAUAGAGUAGAUGUUAUACCACACCACGAUGAAAAGAAUGUUUUUGUACUACUAAUACUACAAUCAUGUAGAGCAUCCCAAUGAGAAGUGACUGAAACAUUGUCACAUAGACACUCUAUUUGGUCGUUGUUAGACGUUCUAGCCCAAGAUCAUUUGAGACCCGAACGCUAGGAAAGCAAUAAUAUUUUAACACAAUCUCAACACACAAAUGAAGUGCAAUUUGGUAGCAUAGGUCGGGAAUACAUGUCGGAUUUCCGUAGCAACUACCAUUGUCUAUACCACCAAGGAUAACCUUACAGCCAUAGCACAAGUAGACUUAAGAGAUCAAAUAUCAAAACUUAACUAGAUAAUCAUGGCAUAUUAUCAGUUUUGCAAGUACUAGGAGAAAAUUCAUACUGAAGAGGCAAUGAAAGAUGUAAAGCUACAAACUAGAAAACAUAGAGAACAACUUAUAAGUAAUACACACAGCAAGAGUUAGAUAUAGAAUAAAAUAGCAAAUAGAAUUUAUAUGUCCUGUACAGAAUAAAAUAGCAAACAGAAUUUAUAAGUCUUGUACAGAAUAAAACAACAAACAGAAUAAAAUAGCAAGAGUUAAAUUUAUCCUUUUGUCUACAAUAAUCUUCUUCGAACUCUAAACAAGGUCCUGUACAGAAUAAAACAGCAAAUAGAAUUUAUAAGUAAUAUACACAGCAAGAGUUAGAUACAGAACUAAGAUCAUUCUUAAAAAGUAAAGAGUGUCCAUUGUAAAAGAGAAAUAGUCUACAUUUGUCAAAAGCUAGGGACGAUCAAUAAUCUCCAUAGGAAAAAUGAAACUUUUAGCCGAAAAACAUUUGUAACAAACACUUAGGAAAACUAAUUAGACGUAUUUAGAGGAAUGUUCAAUAGGAAACUUACUAAAGAGCAGGAGCAGAAAAGGAUAUAACUAACUUUUACGUCCCACUUACCAAUUUUCAUUCCAUAAAAACAGAAAAUGGUGAAGGGGAAAACAAUUUUGAGAUAGGGAAGUAUGAGUCAGAUCCUAUUCAAGGUUAACAAAAGCAAACAAAAAAACUGAUGAAAUGAACGCUAACCGGCCAAUUCAGGCGUCAUGGAUUUUACGGAGUAAAGAAGGUACCUAAUACUCAAUACAGUAGAGAUUUUAAUAUUGAAUUGCAAAGACAUAUAGAUAAGGGUCCUAAAUUCAAGAUCAGAGGUCCAAGAAUUUGGUUAGUGUAUAAAACAAAAGUCUGAAAUUUAGCUGUGUACCAAAUCUGAUCGGAGCUCUAAUAUAUGUAAAAUAUGUUUGACAAACUCAAAAGCUAACUGAUUAUGAAGAAAAAAGGAAAGAACAACCUAUUAGGAAGAAUAUAAUAAAGAACGAGAAUUCAACUUCACAGGUAAUAUGAUGAUCUAAAAAAACAUCAAAGAUUAUUAUGCAACUGAUCCUUGCAGCUCAGUAAAGAACUGCCAAUAUACUGAAUACUAAAAUAGUUUUUUUUGUCCGUUGAACUCCACUCGAACCCACCACUAUAUUUCUGCAAAACUACUGAAUUCAACCACAUCUGCACAUAAGACUAAUUAACUUUCAAUCUACCUGGAAAUUUUGAUCUACCUGCCAUUGUUUAUCAUCUCACAUAAACUCAACCAAUCCACUAUCACAGCUAUUGUAACUCUUCCACCAUUGAAUUAAAGCUACUCUCUACCACAACAAAACCUAAGCAAUUAUCAUCCAGUCAAGCUAAAGACUGAUUUAUUCACCUAUAUACAAUCUACUAAAACAGACUUGCAAAAUAAAUAACUGCCUUAUUUAUCUUUACUAUUCCUUCACCAAACAUUCGUCAAUCCAUAAUUUCAAUAUUAAGAAUACGAUGUAGAGUCUGUGUUGCAGAGUUAAUACUAUCACAUAAAACUCCAGGAGACGGGUUGAGCUCCCUUGUCAGGGAUACAGGUGCAGAUUUAGCAAAAGGAGGCAAAUCAAUAUCAGAAGGUGAACUAAGCAGGUCAAGGGAAAUUGUCCUUUUAGGCUUAACCAAAAAUUUGGGGAUUGGAAAAGAACUAGGUGGCAGCGAUUUCGAAUAAGCUGGACUAGUCCAUAGUUCAGAAUAACCAAAUUCAUCAUUCAAAGACUCUACCUUUCGCAUACCAUCACCAACUUUAAUGUCAAUUGGUAUCGAAAUCACACUACUCGAGGCUGAUUUUUUUGACUUGUUUGAACCUUCAAAGUAUGAACUACUGGGAAUUAUAGAUUUUCCAUUGAUGGGUGUGGAGUAUGACCUUAAUAGGGUAGGAAGUUGUAACACCCCGAAAUAUUAUCCCGAGAUGCCACAUGAUGCCCAAGGCUACACAUAGCCUCAAGCUAAUCUUUUAAGCCAAAACACUACCCUUGGAUUUCAACACAACAAGAUACACGCUACGCUAAGGAUAUAUAUAAGUACACAUCAUAUCACAUCUCACAUGGCACGAAAUAUAGUUAGACUGUACAUAUAUAGAAUGUCUAUACACAAACCAACCUAAUAAUACACUAGUCUGACAUAGCCUCUAUACAGCAAAAUCAACGAGCCAUUGGGACAAACCCCCAACUGACUCAACAGACCUAAGGGAUAACAAAACAACAGCACUAAAACUAACAACUUGGUCCUCAAACCAUGAGGACUCACCUCAAAAGAAACGUAGAUGCGGCACUCAGAUAUCACUAUCGCAGCUGCGGCUGAGUACCUGAACCUAUAUCAUGGUAAGAAUGUAGACCGUAGAGAAAAAUAUGGGUCAGCACAAGAUACGUACUGAGUAUGUGGGGGCGCAUGCAAAAUAUAAAUAAUAUCAUAAAUUUCGUAAAAACAUACAUACGGACCAUAAUGACACACCUAGUUUGACUAACAUUGAAUAAUGCAACUCAUAACAUCUUAGAUAGGAAAUAAAGGAGAAAAACCUCAUAAAUCAUUGUAGAUUAUCAUAGGCAACUUGACUUACCAUAUCAAAACUCAGAGUGACUCGGUAUUUCAAUAAAAAUGACUCUUACGGACAGGGGAAUUUCCUAUAACCGACAACUCCACGUGAGCUAUGUGGAAUACCAACAUUUAAAACCCCCAUUGGCAAGAGCAUCAUACUCUUUGCCAAGGAGUACGACCUUAAAACUACAAUAAUCACAAUUGGGCUCUUUGGCCAAUAAUAUCAUCAUCAAACAACCCUACAGUGGCACAUAGGUUUAGGAAAAUACCAAAUUUCCCUCUCGAUGCUAAGUACUACUCCCCGACAAGCUCAGAACGCGUUAGGAAAUCCACCAUAACAUCUCAAGGGUCUAUCAUAAAGACCAAAUCAAAUCUCUUUCUUAUUUAUCAAAUCAUAUUAAUUUAUGGAUUCCUAACUCAACACAUUUUAGCUCAAAACAUUUUAAUCUUCCUCAACACCAACAAGGUAUCAAUGCGUUGAACCAUAACUGACUAGACAUUUGGACAAGGAUAUGAAGACUCAAUACAUAAUAUUUUCAACAAUUUAACUCAUCAAAACCAUCCGAAAAAUNNNNNNNNNNNNNNNNNNNNNNNNNNNNNNNNNNNNNNNNNNNNNNNNNNNNNNNNNNNNNNNNNNNNNNNNNNNNNNNNNNNNNNNNNNNNNNNNNNNUUUCCAAUAUCAAUUAUAAAUUCAUAAUAAGGAAAUAGUGGAAUGAUAGUAUAAAUCAAGGCUUAACAAAUUAAAUCAUCAUACUCUCAUAAUCAAAUACUUUUUGGACAUAAUUCCAUCUCAACAUCAUACACAUAUCGGAUGACAUAAUCCCAUAGCUCAUGGACAAUAAUAUAAGAUAUAAAACCAUAUUUCCAAUUCAUGGUAAAACAUGUAAAAUCUCAUGUCAAUGUAAUUCAACAAAAAUACCGGGCACAAGAUCAAAAGGAUAAUCUUGUUCAAAGCCCCACAUAGCUAAAAAUGGAAGAUGAAUAUGAACUUUCGACUCCAAAACUUUAUUCACAAAAAUAAAGGGUGCUUCUCGAAGCCCUUAAUAUGAUCAACUCGAAUUCCAAAUCAAUUUGAAAUUUCUACGGUUCAAUCAAAAGAUAUAGAAGGAUGAAAUUUGGAGUAAUUGGGUUGGGGUUUGAGCCUUAGGAAAUUUUGGAGAAAAAUGAGCUAUUAAUGCUUCUUAAUGGGAUUAAAUCCAUGGUUUACCAGAUGGAUUGGAGUAGGAAUGACCAAAAUACCCUUAAAAAUCAAAUAAUGUCAAAUUUAUCCUUUGGUGGACUAUUUUGAUAGGCUGAAGUAGAUCGACCAUAACUUUUUCUUCUAAUGGCCAAAUUAGAUAUAACCAAUUUCAUUGGAAAGAGGACUUUCAGAGAUUUUUGUUGAUAUAUAGUAGCUUACCCAGAUCAUUAUGUACAAUGAGUUAUGAUUGUUUGAAGUUGACCCUAAAAUUCGCCUGGCUUUAGUAUUUUUUUCUGCACAUUUACUGUUCACCACUAUUCAGGGUAAGAUCGGAAUGAUCAUAACUCAUCGUUCGAGUGUCCGUUUUGGAUGAUCCACAUAUCUUUGGAAAGCUUAUUCAAUGAUCUACGCUAUGACGGAUCGCAUAUCUAGAAAUUCCUCACAUAAAAAUUAUUAACUAUGAUAAAGAGCAGAAUUCAACAUAUUUUCAUCCAAGAUCUUAACGGAAAAUUUUUUUGGGGCAUCACAUCAUAUCCCCCUUGGAAACAUUCAUCCUCAAAUGUUGAUAGGUAGGUCAAGAAUACUAUGAAAAUAAGUAUACAGAGAAAAAUCAUCUUGCCCAAGCAUAUACUCCAUUCUAGAUUUUUUUAGAUAUCAUAGAAAACACACAAGCCAAGAUAAACAUAGCAAUAAGGAAUAAAUCAAAAGAGAACGAUACCUUUGACAUGCUCAGGAUUUGUAGGAAAGAGGUGGGGAUAUUUGGCGCACAUAUCCACUUCGGCUUCCCAAGUAGCACUCUCUACGGAUUGAUUUUGCCAAAGCACUUUAACCAAAGGAACCUCCUUGUUUCUUAACCUACGAACUUGAAAGUCAAAAACCUCAACCAAAAUCUCUUCAUAUGAAAGACUAUCUUGAAUACCCGAGCUUUCAGAAGGAUCAAUCACAACAGAAUCACCAAUAGACUUCUUAAACAUAGCAACAUGGAAAACUAGAUGGACGUUAGAUAACUCCGCGGGCAAUUCAACCUUAUAUGCUACCUUCCCAAUGCGAUCCAUAAUCUUAUAGGGACCAAUGUAAUGGGGACUUAGUUUCCCUUUCUUCCCAAACUCUUCACCCCUUUCAUGGGUGAAACUUUCAAGUACACUAAAUCACCAACAUCAAAUUCAAGGUCUUUCCUCCUUACAUCUGCAUAUGAUUUUUGAUAACUUUGGACGGUUUUCAACCUUUCCCGAAUUAACUUAACCUUCUCCAUGGCCUCGAACACCGCAUCCGGUCCAGUCGUGGCAGCCUCACCAACUUUAAACCAACCAAUGGGUGAUCUACACCUUCUACCAUACAAAGCUUCAAACGAGGCUAUUCCAAUAGUAGCAUGAAAACUGUAAUUGUAAGCAAACUCGAUUAAUGCUAAGUGCUCAUCCCAACUACCUUUAAAAUCAAGCACACAAGCCCUCAACAUAUCUUCUAAAGUCUGAAUGGUCUGCUUGGCCUAACCAUCUAUUUGUGGAUAGAAAGUAGAACUUAAACGAAUUUGCGUACCAAGACCCUUCUGGAAAAAUUUCCAAAACUGAGAGGUAAACUGAGUACCUCUGUCAGAAAUAAUAUCCAAAGGGAUUCCAUAAAGUCUGACGAGUUCCCGAAUAUAUAUUCUAGCAUAAUCUCCAGCUGUAUACGAUGAAUGCACAGUCAAAAAAUGAGCUGAUUUUGUCAGCCGAUCUACGACAACCCAAAUCGAAUCAUGAUGGUGAUGAGAAGGAGGCAAACCAACUAUGAAAUCCAUAUUCACUUUCUCCCAUUUCCAAGUAGGAAUGCUAAACUCUUGCAUCACAUCACUAGGCCUUUGAUGCUCUAUUUUAACCUGUUGACACGUGGAACACUUCGCCACAAAUUCUACUAUGUUCUUCUUCAUACCAUUCCACCAAUAGAUUUCCCGCAAAUCAUGGUACAUCUUGGUAGCACCAGGAUGGAUGGAGUAUCGCGUACCAUGCGCUUCCACCAUAAUCCUCUGCUUCAAGUUAUCAACAUCAGGAACACAUAAUCUUUCUUGGAGUCUCAAAAUGUCAUCUCCCCCUUGGGAGAAAACCUCCACCUUUUGGUCUUUAAUUGACUCUUUUAACCUGACCAAGAUAGGAUCCCUGUCUUGCUUCUCCUUCACUUCCGAAACUAAAGAGGAUUCAGAACCGCUUUGCACUCCUAUACUACCCUUAGCAUCACCAAACAACCUAACCCCCAAUCUAGCUAAAUGAUGUACCUCACGGGCCAACUCAUUCUUACCAAUCUUCACAUGUGCUACGCUACCCAUGGACUUUUGACUAAGGGCAUCUGCUACUACAUUGGCCUUGCCCGGAUGAUAUAGCACACUUAUAUCAUAAUCUUUCAAUAGUUCUAACCAUCAUCUCUGCCUAAGAUUCAACUCUUUUUGGGUGAAUACAUACUGCAAGCUCUUAUGGUCUGUGAAGACAUCGACAUGGACACCAUACAAAUAAUGUCUCCACAUUUUCAAAGACAAAACCACGAAAGCUAAUUCAAGGUCAUGGGUAGGAUAAUUCUUCUCAUGAGGCUUUAGCUGCCUGGAAGCAUAAGCUAUAACCUUGCCCUUUUGCAUCAAUACACAACCUAAACCGACUCUGCAAGCAUCGCAAUACACCAUAAAACCAUCAACACCGUCAGACAAAGUCAACACAAGGGCUGAAGUGAGUCGAGUCUUCAACUCCUGAAAACUCUUCUCGUAAGAUUCGAACCAUAGGAACUUCACUUUUUUUGGGUCAAACGGGUCAUAGGAGACGCAAUAGAUGAAAACCCUUUAAUAAAAAGACGAUAAUAACCAGCUAGACACAAGAAACUUCGGAUAUCAGAAGGAGAAAUAGGUCUAGGCCAACUCUUUAUAGCCUCUAUCUUUUGAGGAUCAACUCUAAUACCUUCGGAAGAAACAACAUGACCAAGAAGGCUACAGAGUUCAGCCAGAACUCACACUUACUGAACUUAGCAUACAACCGAUGAGUUCGAAGAGUUUCCAACAUGAUUCAGAGAUGAUCCACAUGAUCACCCUCACAUUAGGAGUAAAUAAGAAUAUCAUCAAGGAAAACUAUUAUAAAUAAAUCCAGAUAUGACCGGAAUACAUGGUUCAUAAGAUCCAUGAAAAAUGCUAGAGCAUUAGUUAACCCAAAAGACAUCACUAGAAAUUCAAAAUAACCGUAACGGGUUCAAAAGGCUUUCUUGGGGAUAUCACAUUCCCUAACCUUAAGUUGGUGAUAACUGGAUCUGAGUUCUAUCUUCAAAAAGUAGCUCGCACCUUGCAAUUGAUCAAAUAAAUCAUCAAUUCAAGGAAGCGGAUAUUUAUUCUUGAUAGUAACCCUAUUAAGCUGCAGGUAAUCAAUACACAUCCGCAAAGAACCAUCUUUCUUAUGCACAAAUAGGAUAGGUGCACCCCAUGGGAAUACACUAGGUCUGAUAAAGAUUUUGCCUAAAAGAUCUUUCAAUUGCUCCUUCAACUCUUUAAGUUCUGCGGGAGCCAUGCGAUGCGGAGAAAUGGAAAUAGGCUGAGUAUCGGGAAAAAGGUCAAUUCCGAACUCUAUCUCUUUAUCAAGAGGUACUCCAAGGAGAUCUUUCGGAAAGAUAUCAAGAAACUCAUUAACAACAUUAAUUGACUGAAUGGUCAGGGUUUUAGACUUAGUGUCUUUAACCCAAACCAAAUGGUGGAUGCAACCCUUGAAAAUCAACUUCCUAGCUUUGAGAUAGGAUAUGAAAUGACCCUUAGGAAUCACAAAACUCCUGGACCAUUUGAGGAUAGGUUCAGCAAAAAAAACCACACGGGCACGACAAUCAAUAGACGCAUUGCGUGAGUGAAGCCAAUCCAUACCCAGAAUGAUAUCAAAGUCAACCAUAUCUAGCUCAAUCAAAUCAGCAUACAUAACCUGAUGAAAGAUAGUAAUGGGAUAUUUCUUAUACACCUGUUUAGCAAUGACAGACUCUCCUACCGGAGUAGAAACUAAAAUAGGCUCAAAAAUUAGUUCAAGAUCCGUUUCAAAAUUUACAGCAAACAGAGGUGUCACAUAAGAAAAACUUAAACCGGGGUCCAUCAACACAUAGACAUCAAAAUAGAAAAAAUGAAGCAUACCAGUGACAACAUCAGGAAAGUCCUCCUACUCCUGAUGAGGUGGUAUAGCAUAGAAAUGAUUCUGGCAUUGACCGCCAGCAGUAAUAGAUGAAGCACCCUGAGGAGGAACUGGACGGGCUGCGGGAGGCGGGGUACUUGUAGCCUGACUCUGGGGAUGGGCAUAACGACUCCGCUGUCUGGCAUACGGGCAGUCUCUAAGUAUGUGGCCCAACUUUCCACAACCAAAGCAGCCUCGCUGCCUCAUAUAACACUCCCCAAAAUGGUCUUUACCACACUUAGCACAUGAAGGAGGAUGAGGCCGAUUGCUUACACUGUCCUAAGAACUGGAAGGUACCGACCUAUUCCUGAGCUCCUACCUGCCCCGAUAUACGAGAGCACUAGCUGAGGAAGGCAUAGGUAUAAAUGGACAUCUCUGAAACUGAGAGCGACUCUCUCCAAAGAAUCUAGUCUGACUAGACCCUGUUGCUCCGAUCUGACUCUCUUAUUCCCUCUUACUCUUUCUCUUUUAUUUAUCUUAUCUGACUUAAUCUGUUGGGCGUGAAUGAUUAACCUAGGAAGAUCAAUAUCCCUGUUGAUCAUAGCAGAUCUACAUUCUUUCACCACAUAACUCAACAUCCCAGUUAGAAACUUGCUCAUACUAGUCCUUGAGUCAGCCAUUAUAUUGGGAGCAUACUUUGAUAGCUGAUUAAACUUAAGACAAUACUUCUUAACCGACAUGGAGCCUUGUCUCAAAUUCAUAAACUCCUCUAUCUUAGCUUCCCGUAACUUAAGAGGAAAAAAUCUAUCCAAGAAAGCAUCUUGGAACAAUUGCUAAGUCACAGGAGCAGUAUCUUCCUCUCUACCCUUAUUCCAUAACUGCACCCAGUCAUAGGCAACAUCCUUCAACCUAUAAGAAGCCAGCUCCACACUUUCUUCCUAGAUCACGUGCAUAAUCUGUGUAAUUUUCUUUAUUUCAUCAACAUACAUCUGUGGGUCCUCACCUGCUCUUGACCCAUGAAACUCUGGUGGAUUCAUCCACAUAAAGUUACGAAUUCAUGCUGCUGUCGAAUUAUUUUCCUGCGAAGGUGGAGUAUUGGCCUGAGUAUUUAUGGUAAUUGCCUGGGCUAGCAUCUAAAAAGCUGCUCAAAAUUUAGCAUGGGAUACCGUCUCAUGUAACGGAUCAAUGGGUUGAGGUUAGUUGUUUUUGCGAGCUCGACAUAGAGGCAUUUUCUAUCAUAAGAACACACGAAUUAAUAGCAGAAGGAAACAGUUGUAAGCAUGAUACACUCUUGUAGAAAGAAAGAAAUGACUUUUCCUAGAAUGCCCCACAGCCUCUUGAUCAUAGGUGUGGUGCGCUAAUAUCGAUGCUCUAGACACUACGUAAUGCGGCUUGUCAGACUCCCUAGGACUUUUCACAACCUUAGGCUCUGAUAUCAAGUUUGUAACGCCUUAAAAUAUCAUCCCAAGAUGCCACACAGUGUCCAAGGCUACACGUAACCUCAAGCUAACCCUUUAAGCCAAAACACUACCCUUGGGUUCUAACACAACAACAUACACUCUACGCUAAGGAUAUAUAUAUAAGUACAUAUCAUAUCACAUCGCACAUAUCUUGGAAGAUCAUUAGACUGUACAUAUAUGGAAUGUCUAUACACAAACCAACCCAACAAUACACUAGUCUGAUAUAGCCUCUAUACAGCAAAAUCAAUGAGCCAUUGGGACAAACCCCUAACUGACUCAACAGACCAAAGGGAUCACAAAAAAAUAGCACCAAAACUAGCAACUUGGUCCUCGAACCAUGAGGACUCACCACUGAAGGAACGUAGAUAAGGCACUCAGAUAUCACUGUCGCGGCUGCGGUUGAGUACCUGAACCUACAUCAUGGUAAGAAUGUAGACCAUAGAGAAAUAUGUGGGUCAGCACAAGAUACGUACUGAGUAUGUAAAGGCGCAUUCAAAAUAUAAAUAAUAUCAUAAAUUUCCUAAAAAUGUACAUACGGACCAUAAUGACACACCUAGCUUAAGUGACAUUAAAGCAUGCAACUCAUAACAUCUUAGAUAGGAAAUGUAGGAGAAAACCUCAUAAAUCAUUAUAGAUCAUCAUAGGCAACUUGACUUACCAUAUCAAAACUCGGAGUGACUCGGUAUUUCAAUAAACAUGACUCUUAUGGACAGGGGAGUUUCCUAUAAUCGACAAAUCCACGUGAGCUAUGUGGAAUACCAAUAUUUGAAACCCCCAUUGGCAAGAGCGUCAUACUCUUUGCCAGGGAGUACGACCUUAAAACUACAAUAAUCACAAUUGGGCUCUUUGGCUAAUAAUAUCAUCAUCAAACAACCCUACGGUGGCACAUAGAAUUAGGGAAAUACCAAAUUUCCCUCUCGAUGCUAAGUACUACUCCCCGACAAGCUCAGAACGCGUUAGGAAAUCCACCAUAACAUCUCAAGGGUCUAUCAUAAAGACCAAAUCAAAUCUCUUUCUCAUUUAUCAAAUCAUAUCAAUUUGUGGAUUCCUAACUCAACACAUUUUAGCUCAAAANNNNNNNNNNNNNNNNNNNNNNNNNNNNNNNNNNNNNNNNNNNNNNNNNNNNNNNNNNNNNNNNNNNNNNNNNNNNNNNNNNNNNNNNNNNNNNNNNNNNNNNNNNNNNNNNNNNNNNNNNNNNNNNNNNNNNNNNNNNNNNNNNNNNNNNNNNNNNNNNNNNNNNNNNNNNNNNNNNNNNNNNNNNNNNNNNNNNNNNNNNNNNNNNNNNNNNNNNNNNNNNNUAAAUUAAAUCAUCAUACUCUCAUAAUCAAAUAGUUUUUGGACAUAAUUCCAUCUCAACAUUAUACACAUAUGGGAUGACAUAAUCCCAUAGCUCAUGGACAAUAAGAUAAGAUAUAAAACCAUAUUUCCAAUUCAUGGUAAAACAUGUAAAAUCUCAUGUCAAUGUAAUUCAACAAAAAUAUCGGGCACAAGAUCAAAAGGAUAAUCUUGUUCAAAGCCUCACAUACCUAAAAAUGGAAGGUGAAAAUGAACUUCCGACUCCAAAACUUUAUUCACAAAAAUAAAGGGUGCUUCUCGAAGCCCUUAAUAUGAUCAACUCGAAUUUUAAAUCAAUUUAAAAUUUCUACGGUUCAAUCAAGAGACAUAGAAGGAUGAAAUUUGGAGUAGUAGGGUUGGGGUUUGAGCCUUAGGAAAUUUUGGAGAAAAAUGAGCUAUUGAAUGCUCUUAAUGGACUUAAAUCCAUGGUUUACCUGGAUGGAUUGGAGUGGGAAUGACCAAAAUACCCUUAAAAAUCAAAUAAUGUCAAAUUUAUCCUUUGGUGGACUGUUUUGAUAGGCUGUAGUAGAUCGACCAUAACUUUUUGCUCUGAUGGCCAUAAACCAAUUUCAUUGGAAAGAGGACUUUUAGAGAUUUCUAUUGAUAUAUAGUAGCUCAGCCAUAUCAUUAUGUACUAAGAGUUAUGAUCGUUUGAAGUUGACCCUAAAAUUCACCUGGCCUCAGUAUUUUAAUCCUGCACAUUUAAUGUUCACCACUAUUCACGGUUAGAUCGGAAUGAUCAUAACUCACCGCUCGAGUGUCCGUUUUAGAUGAUCCACAUAUCGUUGGAAAGCUUAUUCGAUGAUCUACAUGAUGACCGGUCGCAUAUAAAGAAAUUCCACACAGAAAAAUUUGUAAUCACGAUGAUAAUAGAAUUCAACACAUUUUCAUUCGAGAUCUUACUGGAAAAUUUUUUUGGGGCAUCACAGAAGUAUACCAACACAAGACUCAAAACUCCAACAAUUGAUUUCUUUAAAACCAACAGAAGGAGGUGACCCAAAGAAACCAAAUCUAACAGGAACUUGAUCCCUAGUUCUAUCAUAGUAAUGAUUCUGGAUGAGCAAUAACAAGUGUCUCCAUUUCUAAAUUAAACAAAUUAAUUGAUCCAAUUCACUACAUUAUUAUACCAAAGAAUUAAAGAUAUAACAAGCAAGCACAGUAAAAAGGGUCUCUUUUGGGCUUUUGGGCUUUUGGGAUUCAGAAAAAGCUAGAAAUCAUAGAUCUUCUCCAUAACCACAUCACACUCCAAUUUCUUUGGAUCUAUUAGCAAGAAAAAAUUGAAGAAAAAAAUAAGCAAUCGUAGAAAAUAAUAUUAACCCAUGAGCUAAAAACAAAAACCCAGGUUGAAAAAGUUUUUAAAAAUUAAAAAAUCAACAAAAAUAAGAAACGAGAUUUAUUACAGCGAGGAAAGCAAUUAGUGAAAAAGCCUUUAGCUUAUUAUUGAAUACCAGUCAGCCUCACAUCUCUUGAAAUCCUCCUUACUUCACGAGCAUAUGCCCCAAUCUUAAUCAACGAUUCUAUCUCCUUCAAAUCUGACUAAAUAACAAUCAUCCAAAAUCCUCCAAAAAAACAAAACAUUUAGUCAAAAUAAACAUAUCCAAAAGUUACAAAUAUAACUUGGGUUAAUUACACCAUAUAAAUCGAUUGUGAAGAGAAUUGUAGUAAGAUUGUACUUAUGGUGUAAGAUUGUGAAGAGAGUUGCUCCGCCAUCUCAAUAUCUUUAUCCAUCUUCUUUCUUUGUUUGGAGAAGAAGAAAUGUGAAAGAGAGAUGGUACGAUGAAGUAACAAAUGAUGAGUAUCAGAAGAAGGAAUCUCUUUGCUUCAAAUUGGAGUUAGAUUUGAAUUGUGAAUUUUCUGAUUUGCUACAUAAAAAGGGAUUUUGAUAUUUUCUAAUUUUCUACUUGAUUUUGAUAUUUUCUACAGAAAGAGAAAUAAUUUUUUGCUACAGAAAGAGAAAUAUUUUUUUGACGGACUUAAGUGAAAUAUUGUAGAGGGAAAUUAAAAAGUGAUGCAAUAGAUAAUUUUCUCCCAUUAAGUGUUGCCAUAGAUGCUUUAUGGCAAUGAUUUUAGAAAGUGUUUCUAUAAAUAUACCUAUUGCAACGAUUCAUUCUCAAUAGCAACAAUUAUAGUGCUAAUAAAACUAUUAUUUUUUGCAAUGGUUAAAAGUGUUGCAAUAGAUAUUCGAUGGCAAUACUUUUGCAAUCGUCACGAAAAAGUCCAUUGCCAUAGGCCCAAUUUCUGGUAGUGCUUGCGCUUGUCCUAAUCUAAAUGUUGGGCUUUGGC
This 15039-nucleotide long non-coding RNA is filed under the name Capsicum annuum. RNAcentral's name for it is "long non-coding RNA (CANN_LNC015597)". The record is from RNAcentral. Lineage: Eukaryota; Viridiplantae; Streptophyta; Magnoliopsida; Solanales; Solanaceae.